AUAACAUUGAAUAUUAUGAACUUAUUAUUAAAAUUGAGACUAAAUCAGAAAACAAAUUUUAAAAUAUACUUAUUAUAAAUUAUGUGUAACAUAAGAUAUUAAUUUAGUUUUAUAUAAAUUCAAUUUUUAGAUGCCACCAUGCACACAAGCUCAAAUUGUUUCGCACUUAGGGAGGCUUGUAAGUCGCGAAGCCAGCUGUAGAAACUCUUCUGACUUACAACGGGAACCAUCUGUAGGGUGAUGACUGCCACACUAACUGAGCUUGAGAGCAUUCACGCAAUGAGUGUUUACCAAUCUUAACCGAUGCAGCACACCAGGGACAAGCCCCAUUAAUUUGGACCCCCCGUUUAAUAGAAGACUCGUCAAUAAGUCCAUACAUGCUCGUCGAAUGAAAUGGUGUACCUUGGGUGGAAUGGGCAUCGCCCAGCAAUGUUUCCAAAACAGGUUCGCAAUGAAGCGCUGGGGAGCACGAUGCAAGAUUUUGUGCUUGCUGAGACAGCGCCACAUAGUAUGCACUUCGCACAGUGAAGAAACCACGCUUAUGAUAAUGCCUGAUAACCUUAUCCUCCAAUCGAGAGCAACUCAGUGGAAUGGAGCAAAUCUGUUUGGCUUCGAACGGCAUAAAAUUUUGAUGGAUCACAGUUUCAUAUCACCUAUUUUCCUCAAGUACAAUCAGGCUAUCUACCGAAGCAUUCUCAUCCAAAAUUGCGGGAGGGGAUCACACCUUAAAACCAUUCUGCUGGGCUAACCAAUUAUCCUUCCAUAUUUUGAUAAGAGAUCCAUCACCCACUAUCCAACGAGAACCGUCUGUACAACCCAUCUAGACUGAAUGAUGCUUCUCCAAGCAAAGCUAGGAUGGAAACCCAAACUAGCUUUAAGAAAAUAUUUUCGAGGGUGGUAUCGUGCCUCCAAAAUUCUGUACACAUUAUUUGCAGCAAGCAUGGAGCCUCCUCCAGCUCGAACAUGGCAUGGCAUAAAUAAGUUUUUUUUUUAAUUUCCCCAUUGCUGCCGUCACAUUUUGUUUAAAGAACACCCAAACAUCCUGUUAAUGCAGUGCAUUGACACGAAAUUAAUUGAAGAAGAACAGUCACAAGUCAGAACAUUGAUGAAGAAUUACAUGAUUCAGUUUGGAAUCUACAGCCGUUUUUGCAUAGCAGGCAGAAGCUUCACAACAAUUCAAAGAUACAUCAUACUUGGACCAUCAAAAAGUGAUUUAUUCCAGGAAUCACAAGACUGAUUUUCCUAGUGUUCCUGUACAAUUAUAACAGCGAUUUCUUGUUAAAUUUAUAUGUGGGCAGACUAGCAGGUCAACUGGCCAUGUCCAAUCACUAGUUUAAACAGAAAAAGAUAGUAUCACUAUCCAGCCUCCUCCAGUAUGCAUUUACAAAAAAAAAAUAGAACAUCACUAUUAACCUCCACAACAUACAUGUCUGGGUAAACUGUGGGGCAAAAGAAAAAUGAGAACUUCUGAAAAACCUGACCGUUUGAAGGCUCUAAAACCUAGUUCUGCAUAAAAAUUGUUUUCUGGUUAUUUUUCUCUCUCCAAAUGAAGAAAAUCUAUUACCGAAAAGUGCAACACAGACUCAUCAUGUCUCCGAUGAUUCCUUGCUUCCAUUUCCAUCCUCUUUCCUUUGUAAAAGGGCCCCGAAAAUUGAAAAAAUGGCUACUAGUGUAAUUUCAAUGUGCUCAGAGCUACUAAUCUUUAAGUUAACCCAACUCAAUGCUGUCUUGAAAUUCCAAGAGAGUAUUAGCAUCACCAAGAAUUUUGGUGCACAUGCAUAACAAUAAGAAUUGAGAUCUCCAAGCUUGUCCAUUGGGAAGAAUAUUUUCCCCCAUGAAAUUUUUUUUACGCCGAGGAUGAUUCUCUGCUAAAAGUACUGGGUUUUCCAGUUUUGUGUCUGAUACUGCCUGGUGUAUAAAGUGUUCCAUCAAAUCUUUCCACAUAUGAUUCAUAGUUGACUGGAAAUCCACAUGGUCCUUCAGGAAGAGUUAACGAAGCAUGAGUCAUGACAAGGAUGGGUUUAAACCAAAUUGCACUACCAAAUACUUGGAACACAAGCUUCAUAAGAGGAAAAUCAUUAUAACUCAUGUUGAGGAGGUCAAGCCACUAAAAAAAAAGAACAAUAUCAGGUGGGGAUUUUCCAAUGAAUCUCUUCACAGAAAGCAUGAUCUUCCUAUUUCGUCUCAUAUUAUUUGUAGAUGAAGGUAAAAAGCCAGGGGUAUCAAUAAAAGUUACUCUGACUCCAUAGACAUUUCCAACAAUCUCUUGGAUGCGAUUAGUGGCUGGUUCAAAUGCAUCAGUCAUUGCCUUUCCCUGAUCAAAUAUUGAAUUUAUGGUGGCACUCUUUCCAACAGCUGUUUUCCAUAGGACAAGUAUUCUUUAAUUUGGGCAUGUCAAUUGCUUCUUGUUCUGUGGCUACUUUUCUGGCUCUUUUCAAAUCUAAUUCCCUUCCUCGUAUUGAUGUUGCUAGGUGUAUCCUAUACAAAAACUUCGCCACCAAAAGUUUGUCAUUCAAAUAACCUAACCGCUGAAGAAGCCGGAAAAACUUAACUUGGAGAUCCUCAAUCUUUGCCAAUGCAUCCAUCUUUUCAUAAUCACUGACAUUAUUAGAUCUGUUAGAAUCUUCCUACAGAAAGGGAUGAGACCCAUUCUCCUGAGUGUUAUCAGAAGAGCAUGAUGUAUCUGGAAGCAGUGGUGCAACCUCUGAACAUACCAUGUGAGCUGCAGAUAACAGGAAAGUAAGGUCUUUCUCAACAAAAUCAAUAUACAUUUUUAAGUCAGACUGAAAACAAAAACAUUUUCUGAUCCUACUAAAAUGAAUUCGCAGGAUGGAAAAUUUUGACUAAGAAACACUCCCAUGCGUAGAAAUAUAUGGCUUGAGUACUGUAUGGUAAUUAUUUCACAUAUAGAUAUCACCAUGAGGAAAAAACAGAUGAUUCCAAAGAUUCUUCGUAGUUUGCCAUCCGUUUAUCAACCAUGGAUCACAUAGGCAUGUUGACUGCACUGCACUGUACGUUGUUGUCACUAUGGACAGUUCCUUGAUCUGGUGACCCAAAAGGCAAGACAAGUAUCAUGUGAAUUCAUGAUAUGAGAAGGCCAGAAAGUAAGGCAUUUGAUCAGUUCAGUUUUAAUUGAGAUCCAUACCACCCCGCCAACCAAACCAAAAAAUACUUUUUAUGGAUACUAAGAACAAGAACCAAAAAGAACAUGUCACAUGAUCUAAAAUAUUACCCAAAAAACAUUGUGGUAAUCCUCAUUUCAGCAAGUGUGACAGGGCUCCCUAUUAUGAUUGGUAGUUAUCAUACAAGAAAGAUAAUACAUCACUAUCAUAGGACCUAAUUUGAAACCAUUUGAUUUCAUAAAGUAAAAAAAUCCUUCAAAGUCUAGUUUAGUAAUUACGUUUCCAAUAACAUCCUUAACAUACAAGACCAAGAUGAUGCCAUUACGGCAACAAAAGGCCAAAGUUCUUAAAAAGUUAAAACUAUUUGGUACCCUCUCCUUCGUCAAGAUUACCUAAUUCAAUUUUUGUUUAUUUUCUUUAUUUUUCCUCUUUUUUAAUGUAUGCUUGUGAGUGUUUCAUAAGCGGUAAGAACAGCCACUAAAGAUAGAAAAUGCAAGCAGAUGAAGAGUUCCAGUUACCGCAUGAUGAUUUCCUUUCGUGGUAUCCAAAAUUAUGUGAGGCAAAAGAAAAAUUCUUCAAUCAAUACUUAAUAGAAAUUAUGCUUGCCAGAAAGUUAACAAACAAACAUAAAAAAGAGGAAGCUAAAGAGGGGGGGUGGGAAAGAGUACCCAGAUACCUCGGGAAUUAGAAUCUUCAUCCAGUGGUCUCUCAGAGAAGAAACUGCCGCUGCCAGACAACGGUACAGACGAGGCAACAGACUUGGACCGUAAUUGAGAAAAAACCCAAUCUAAACAAAGAAAUCUUUCAGCUAUCAACACCCAACAAUCUCAACAACAAAACAGAAGAAUAGAAAAUUUUAAGAAAUCAAAUAGCAAGCAGAGACUAAAACUGAAAUUAAACCUGAAUCAGAUAUGUGAGCUGAAAAUGGUAUAAAUAUUGCAAGAACCAGCUUCCCAGCCCAAAAAAUGAAUGAAAGCCCCUCUCAAUGAAAUCCAAAAAUUACCCAACAGAAAAUUAGAAAAUAGGAAUGUGAAAAUCUAUCCAAAUUCCAAAACCCAUGUCCCGGUUUCCGGGAUUCCGCAUCUGUACGUUGAUAGCAAGAAACAAGAGAAGAAGCAAGAGGCGGAGAAGAGAUGCUCUAGACAAGACAGAUAUACGAUUGCUUGUUUCUUUUGGGAUUUUGCGAGCUCGAAAUUAGAAAAACCAACAAGAAGAAAAUUGAAAAAUGAAAAUAAACAAAAUAAAUUCGAUAAAUUGGGGGAAAUAUAAUCGCCUGCUCUCUCGACUUUCGUGGUUAUUAGCUUGCAUUUCAUGGCUGCCCAUGAAUCAACAAAAC
This 4458-nucleotide unclassified non-coding RNA is filed under the name Hevea brasiliensis (rubber tree). The record is from RNAcentral. Lineage: Eukaryota; Viridiplantae; Streptophyta; Magnoliopsida; Malpighiales; Euphorbiaceae.